AUUGAACGCUGGCGGCAGGCCUAACACAUGCAAGUCGAGCGGGUGAAGGGAGCUUGCUCCUGGAUUCAGCGGCGGACGGGUGAGUAAUGCCUAGGAAUCUGCCUGGUAGUGGGGGAUAACGUCCGGAAACGGGCGCUAAUACCGCAUACGUCCUGAGGGAGAAAGUGGGGGAUCUUCGGACCUCACGCUAUCAGAUGAGCCUAGGUCGGAUUAGCUAGUUGGUGGGGUAAAGGCCUACCGAGGCGACGAUCCGUAACUGGUCUGAGAGGAUGAUCAGUCACCCUGGAAGUGAGACACGGUCCAGACUCCUACGGGAGGCCGCAGUGGGGAAUAUUGGACGAUGGGGGAAAGCCUGAUCCAGCCCAGCCGCGUGUGUGAAGAAGGUCCUCGGAUUGUAAAGCACUUUAGGUUGGGAGGAAGGGCAGUAAGUUAAUACCUUGCUGUUUUGACGUUACCAACAGAAUAAGCACCGGCUAACUUCGUG
RNAcentral lists this ribosomal RNA (484 nucleotides) under uncultured bacterium. RNAcentral describes it as "partial 16S ribosomal RNA". It matches the Rfam family "Bacterial small subunit ribosomal RNA", at positions 30 to 507 of the family's 1533-position model. The record is from RNAcentral.